AGGCCCGUCGGUUAAUGGUAAACCACUGCUCUCCAAAAGCAGCACUGGGGGUUCAAGUCCCUCCGGGCCUGCCU
RNAcentral lists this transfer RNA (74 nucleotides) under Candidatus Shapirobacteria bacterium CG09_land_8_20_14_0_10_38_17. Its description in RNAcentral is "tRNA-Trp". It matches the Rfam family "tRNA". Rfam says of the family: Transfer RNA (tRNA) molecules are approximately 80 nucleotides in length. Their secondary structure includes four short double-helical elements and three loops (D, anti-codon, and T loops). Lineage: Bacteria; Candidatus Shapironibacteriota. The record is from RNAcentral.